CAGUCGCCGCGGUAAUACAGAGGAUGCAAGCGUUAUCCGGAAUGAUUGGGCGUAAAGCGUCUGUAGGUGGCUUUUCAAGUCCGCCGUCAAAUCCCAGGGCUCAACCCUGGACAGGCGGUGGAAACUACCAAGCUGGAGUACGGUAGGGGCAGAGGGAAUUUCCGGUGGAGCGGUGAAAUGCGUUAAGAUCGAAAAGAACACCAACGACGAAAGCACUCUGCUGGGUCGACACUGACACUGAGAGACGAAAGCUAGGGGAGCAAAUGGGAUUAGAUACCCCAGUAGUCCCUGUCUCUUAUAC
RNAcentral lists this ribosomal RNA (301 nucleotides) under uncultured bacterium. RNAcentral describes it as "partial 16S ribosomal RNA". It matches the Rfam family "Bacterial small subunit ribosomal RNA", at positions 509 to 807 of the family's 1533-position model. The record is from RNAcentral.